UAAAUUAAACUUCAUUCAUGCUCCGCAUGUGCUGAACAGGAGCUUGAUAGAUGGAAUGACAGAAUAUUUUAUGAUCAUCCCACGUCUGGCCUGGGACAAAGGAGAGGCGGAUAGCGUGUGGAGAUGUAUUAAGAAAUUAACUAGUGACCCAAAAUACCCCAGAACAUGGUGGAAUAAUUAUAUAUGGGAGUUAAUGUCCUUAGGUGGACAUGUACGAGGUCCUUUUCCUGGUAUGAUUCCGAAAACGAGUCAUGAUGCAUGGCUUGUGAAUAGCACAUCGAAGAGAUGGGCUCUGAAUGUGUCAUAUGAAAUGUGGACGGAGGAUGUUCAUGGCUUAAUGGGACAUUUUGCCCCGAACGGGUUCGAUAAGCCAGGGCGAGUGACAGAGUACGAUGUCCUUUUUGGACAAUGGUGGGCUACCAAUCUGACAGAAGGGGUGUUAGAAUGCAGGCCUAAAGAGAGACUCGGCUCUACAAUCUUUUGGAUGGCUAAUUUACUGGCGUUGUUGAACCCAGCUACAGUCCCAACGAUUAAAGAUGUAAAUGUGAAAAAAGGUGUAAAUAUGACUCCUCCGUUCGUGAGGAUGGAGAAACAUGGCAGUUUAAUAGAACUGACUAUGGUCCGAUCACAAGGUCCGCAUCUAGAUGAUUUGUACUCCACCCCAGCUUAUUCAAAGUUUCGGUUUAUGAAUAUGACAUGGGGGCAUUACACUGGAGAGCUGCGAGACUUGGAGUAUGAUUAUGCGUAUCGCGAACAAGCUUUACGAUUCAGGGAAGCACAUUGGGUGCGAAAUUCUCUGUUAACCAGGUGGUGUAGGUCUGAUGCGUGCUUCAGAACUUUGGCCCAGCCCGCUACGAAAAUUGCUGUUAGAAAUGGGAAAAAUGUGUAUAAUCCUUAUGAACUGGGCGGCUUUGUUGACCCUCACGGUUACCCCCACUGGUGGCACUCAAAUUGGAGCAGCUACGUCGUCUGGGACUCAGAGAAUUUCCCAUCAUUAGGAGUAGGAUGGGGUUACUUUGCCAACUCGAAAGGCCCCAAGGCUUGUUUUUGUCAGGAGGACAUAGAUGCUGUUGAAUACAGGAGCGACUUGGGUAUAUGGCCCUUUCAAGCAUGGAUUCCUGUUGGUGGGGGUCAUUGGGAGCAGAACUGUUCUGGUUCCUUUCAUUUUCCCAAUCGGACAGGCACAUGUUGGUUGAGUGAAAGAGCUAGGAUGUCUGAUUGGCAAUUUGUCCAGAAGGGUUUUAAAAUUAUUGGCCAAGGAUUAACCUUAGGUAUCAGAGAGGCCGUUAAGGUGGUCGCCCAGGGAGCAAUGGGUGUUGCCUCUCUGGUAAUCUCUGAAUUAUGGGUUUACGCCAAGGUCCCUGUGAUCGUAGGAGGGGUCCUGGUGAUGUUAUCUGUUUGUGUUAAACUCAUGCAUCUUUUGAAGUGUUUUGCCAGCUGCAGCAGGAGAUCUGCUAAUCAGCCCCAAUGGCAGGAGGAAGGGCCUCCUGAGUCAAUUAGAUUGGGACCACGUGGACGCCGGGCACUCAGGAACAGAGCUGCACGCAGGUAGCAUCUCCCUUGAAGAGAAAGUUCUCAAGGUAUCAUGGCCCGUGCAGAAUCUCCACGUGAGGUAUUUGAAGAAGCAGAUGAGGAUGUGCUGAUUACCUCGGUUGAUGAAUCAGAGGAUCUAUUGCCUGGCCCAGACUCUCAGGAGAUGCUGGUGCUGCCACCCAGUGGACAGAAGCCGCUGGUGAACAAGCGACGUCAGCCUGGGGUGAUACCACCCAAGAGAGUUUCACUUUACGGGCUGGUGGAUGGUAAACCUGUAAGGAUAAACCCGAAUGGACCGUGGAACGCACAUGUUUGGGAACGUAUUGUGUUGGUCUCUGAUGGUACCAGUCAUAAAGGGACUCGAGUGGCGAGGAGGGAGAAGAUUCUUCAGAGAAUUACACGCUCGACUCUAGUUAAGCAUUUUGAUUGUGUCAGGCGCGAUGUGUCACGGGGCCAGACGCGCUUGCCCUGUGUACUCUCUCAUUUCAGAGAAGGCGACGUCGAUUGGUGUUGGAUCAGUACACCCCACAACGACUACGUGCAGGAGGGCGAAGAGCCAAGGCGUGUGGUCAGGAUGCAACCAUCACCUGCUAAAGUGGACGUUCCGAUGCAGGAAGUGAGCCCUCCGGAGUUCGAUCUGCGUCGGCAGCUUCAGGCCGCUCCGUCUGUCCAGGCCAUGGUGCCACCAGUGAUGAAUGCAAUAAACCCACAUGUUUACUUGUAUCCAGGAAAUUUGAAUAUGCAGUAUUUCCCGCAGUUUAUGCCGUUUAACGAAGCUUGGUUUCAAGGGGGGUGUUGAAUAAAGAUUUUCGAUUCCUCCAGACCUGUCUUAUUAUAUAAUAGCAGUUCUGGAUUACAUCUCAAAUCUGUAUGUUAGUGAAACCAGGCUUCAGGGUUCAGCUAGAGGUCUGUGUGUGGUGAUUUGACUCCUGAUCUCAUGCUGCCAUAAAUGAUGUGUGUGUUUCAACUAA
Molecule: non-coding RNA, 2504 nt
Organism: Nothobranchius furzeri (turquoise killifish)
Lineage: Eukaryota; Metazoa; Chordata; Actinopteri; Cyprinodontiformes; Nothobranchiidae
Source: RefSeq, a predicted model, not a curated record